UACGGAGGGUGCAAGCGUUGUCCGGAAUCAUUGGGCGUAAAGCGCGUGUAGGCGGUUCGGUAAGUCGGCUGUGAAAGUCCAGGGCUCAACCCUGGGAUGCCGGUCGAUACUGCCGGACUAGAGUUCGGAAGAGGCGAGUGGAAUUCCCGGUGUAGCGGUGAAAUGCGCAGAUAUCGGGAGGAACACCAAUGGCGAAGGCAGCUCGCUGGGACGUUACUGACGCUGAGACGCGAAAGCGUGGGGAGCAAACA
RNAcentral lists this ribosomal RNA (251 nucleotides) under uncultured bacterium. RNAcentral describes it as "partial 16S ribosomal RNA". It matches the Rfam family "Bacterial small subunit ribosomal RNA", at positions 524 to 774 of the family's 1533-position model. The record is from RNAcentral.